This 305-nucleotide ribosomal RNA is filed under the name uncultured bacterium. RNAcentral's name for it is "bacterial SSU rRNA". It matches the Rfam family "Bacterial small subunit ribosomal RNA", at positions 496 to 798 of the family's 1533-position model. The record is from RNAcentral.
GCCCCUACGGGGGGCAGCAGCCGCGGUAAUACGUAGGUGGCAAGCGUUAUCCGGAUUUACUGGGUGUAAAGGGCGUGUAGGCGGGACUGCAAGUCAGGUGUGAAAACCACGGGCUCAACCUGUGGCCUGCAUUUGAAACUGUAGUUCUUGAGUACUGGAGAGGCAGACGGAAUUCCUAGUGUAGCGGUGAAAUGCGUAGAUAUUAGGAGGAACACCAGUGGCGAAGGCGGUCUGCUGGACAGCAACUGACGCUGGGGCGCGAAGGCGUGGGGAGCAAACAGGAUUAGAUACCCCAGUAGUCCAAC